UACGUAGGGGGCAAGCGUUGUCCGGAUUUACUGGGCGUAAAGAGCGCGCAGGCGGUCGUUCAAGUCGAGUGUGAAAGCCCCCGGCUCAACUGGGGAGGGUCACUUGAUACUGAUCGACUCGAAGGCAGGAGAGGGAAGCGGAAUUCCCGGUGUAGUGGUGAAAUGCGUAGAUAUCGGGAGGAACACCAGUGGCGAAGGCGGCUUCCUGGCCUGUUCUUGACGCUGAGGCGCGAAAGCUAGGGGAGCAAACGGG
RNAcentral lists this ribosomal RNA (253 nucleotides) under uncultured bacterium. Its description in RNAcentral is "partial 16S ribosomal RNA". It matches the Rfam family "Bacterial small subunit ribosomal RNA", at positions 524 to 776 of the family's 1533-position model. The record is from RNAcentral.